Molecule: long non-coding RNA, 129 nt
Organism: Etheostoma spectabile (orangethroat darter)
Lineage: Eukaryota; Metazoa; Chordata; Actinopteri; Perciformes; Percidae
Exons: 3
Source: RefSeq, a predicted model, not a curated record
UCUAACUUUUCUUUAAAACUUGCCAUUUUCAGCGAGUAGCAUGCUGGCUCGAAGUUAGUUGUAGUUUCCCGAAGCGAAGGGAUUUUGACAAAGGCAAUCACACAGGGAGAAAAAGGUGAGAGAUGUCAG